AAGCGGUCCGCGGAGAGCAAGUCCAACCUGCACGAACGAUACCAACGUGAAAGCACAACGCCCGUCUCCGGAGUGGCACUCGUGGGAGCUACCCAACCGAGUAUGCAGCGUAUCUCUGUCGAGCUCAAUCAGGCUCUCACAAGACAAAGUCAAGUAACCGAAUCUAACUGAUCUAAUAACCAAUAGGUCACGUGCCCUCGGCACAAUCUGAC
RNAcentral lists this long non-coding RNA (212 nucleotides) under Ananas comosus (pineapple). RNAcentral describes it as "long non-coding RNA (ACOM_LNC026703)". The record is from RNAcentral. Lineage: Eukaryota; Viridiplantae; Streptophyta; Magnoliopsida; Poales; Bromeliaceae.